GACGAACGCUGGCGGCGUGCUUAACACAUGCAAGUCGAACGGAAAGGCCCUGCCUUUGUGGGGUGCUCGAGUGGCGAACGGGUGAGUAACACGUGAGUAACCUGCCCUUGACUUUGGGAUAACUUCGGGAAACUGGGGCUAAUACCGGAUAGGAGCACCUGCUGCAUGGCGGGGGUUGGAAAGUUUCGGCGGUGGGGGAUGGACGCGCGGCAUAUCAGCGUGGUGGUGGGGUAGUGGCUUAACAAGGCUUUGACGGGUAGCCGGCCUGAGAGGGUGACCGGCCACAUUGGGACUGAUAUACGGCCCAGACUCCUACGGGAGACAGAAGUGGGGAAUAGUGCACAGUGGGCGGGAGCCUUAUGCAGCAACGCCGCGGGCGGGAUGACGGCCUGCGUUUUGUAAACCGCUUGCGCCGGUGACGAAGCGUGAGUGACGGUAAUUGGUAAAGAAGCACCGGCUAACUACGUG
Molecule: ribosomal RNA, 468 nt
Filed under: uncultured bacterium
Lineage: Bacteria
Description: partial 16S ribosomal RNA
Rfam family: Bacterial small subunit ribosomal RNA
Source: RNAcentral